AUACGGAGGAUGCGAGCGUUAUCCGGAUUUAUUGGGUUUAAAGGGUGCGUAGGCUGUGCUGUAAGUCAGGGGUGAAAUGCCGGUGCUCAACGCCGGAGCUGCCCUUGAUACUGCAGUGCUGGAGUACGGAUGCCGUUGGAGGAAUGAGUGGUGUAGCGGUGAAAUGCAUAGAUAUCACUCAGAACACCGAUUGCGAAGGCAUUUGACGAAUCCGUCACUGACGCUGAGGCACGAAAGCGUGGGGAUAGAACAGGAUUAGAUACCCUGGUAUUCCACGCCGUAAACGAUGAUGACUAACCGCCUGCGAUACAGUGUAGGUGGCCAAGCGAAAGCGAUAAGUCAUCCACCUGGGGAGUACGGCCGCAAGGCUUAAACUCAAAGGAAUUGACGGGG
This 393-nucleotide ribosomal RNA is filed under the name uncultured bacterium. Its description in RNAcentral is "partial 16S ribosomal RNA". It matches the Rfam family "Bacterial small subunit ribosomal RNA", at positions 523 to 918 of the family's 1533-position model. The record is from RNAcentral.